GUGCUUUGGGAGAGACAGAGUGUUGAGAGACAGAAGGGGUGGGAACAUCAUGUUGAAGUGAAGUUCAGACCACAUGAAAAAGCCACACAUAGGUGUUCCAUCCAACAGCCAACAUCAGCUGGUGUACAUAUUGUUUCUCUUAGAUCGUGUUUCCUGAGAAGCAAAUUUUGAAAUGGUUUUGAGUGAUGGAUAUUUACUUAAGAGUGCUCCUGGGAAUAACAUCUAUAAAAUCCUGGUGGAGGCAGAGAGGAGGAGACUUUGGACUGCGAGGGAGUUAAUAUACAAGUUUCCACUGAUCCUGUGAGACUGGAAUGGCCCCUCAAAUUUGUCUCAAUUUGAGGCAACUUGGUCAGGCAUUAGUAUCCUACAAUUGAUAGGUUAUUGGGUGCCCAGAGAGAGAGAGAGUGAGAGCAAGAAUGAGAGUGAGAGUGAACAUGAGAUAACGAGAGAUGUAGAUAUACCUCAGGAUAUAAAAUUUAUUCAUUUUUGGUGUGAAGUGUAAGAUUUGCAUCUAGAGUCUUUAUUUUGCAUAAGGACAUCCCAUUGUUCCAUCACCAUUUGUUGAAAAGGUAUCUGUCCUCUGAAUUACCACUAUACUUUGUCAAAAAUCAGUUGACUAUAUUUGUGUGGGCCCAUUUUUGGAUGCUAUAUUUUAUCUUUGAAGAUAAUCUUUCCAAAUUUCAGG
Molecule: long non-coding RNA, 685 nt
Filed under: Pongo abelii (Sumatran orangutan)
Lineage: Eukaryota; Metazoa; Chordata; Mammalia; Primates; Hominidae
Description: lincRNA
Source: RNAcentral